UGGCGGACGGGUGAGUAACGCGUGAGAAUCUGCCUAUAGGUUGGGGACAACAGAUGGAAACGUCUGCUAAUACCCAAUGUGCCGAGAGGUAAAAGCUUUAGUGCCUGUAGAUGAGCUCGCGUCCGAUUAGCUAGUUGGUUAGGUAAAAGCUGACCAAGGCGACGAUCGGUAGCUGGUCUGAGAGGAUGAUCAGCCACACUGGGACUGAGACACGGCCCAGACUCCUACGGGAGGCAGCAGUGGGGAAUUUUCCGUAAUGGGCGAAAGCCUGACGGAGCAAUACCGCGUGCGGGACGAAGGCUUUUGGGUCGUAAACCGCUUUUGUUAGGGAAGAAUAAAUGACGGUACCUAACGAAUCAGCAUCGGCUAACUCCGUGCCAGCAGCCGCGGUAAUACGGGGGAUGCAAGCGUUAAUCGGAAUUACUGGGCGUAAAGCGUGCGCAGGCGGUU
RNAcentral lists this ribosomal RNA (450 nucleotides) under uncultured cyanobacterium. RNAcentral's name for it is "bacterial SSU rRNA". It matches the Rfam family "Bacterial small subunit ribosomal RNA", at positions 96 to 580 of the family's 1533-position model. Lineage: Bacteria; Bacillati; Cyanobacteriota. The record is from RNAcentral.